UUUGGUGAUGAUGGCAGAGAGGUCACACCCGUUCCCAUACCGAACACGGAAGUUAAGCUCUCUAGCGCCGAUGGUAGUUGGGACCUUG
RNAcentral lists this ribosomal RNA (88 nucleotides) under Bacillus cereus. RNAcentral also lists the same sequence under 4 other names. The record is from RNAcentral. Lineage: Bacteria; Bacillati; Bacillota; Bacilli; Caryophanales; Bacillaceae.